AUCACAUCUACAGUGUUUCUCAGACACUGGACCCACGUGUAUCAUUUGCAUGAGAUAUCUUAAUAUAAGUAUUUCACAGCAUAUUUCCUCCUCACAGCUGUACUUCUGAAGUAGCACCCACACCUUCUGUUCUUGAAAAAUUACACUUUCUCCCCAAGAGCUGAAUUCUGCAAAUAGGAAAAUUCUACCCACUCCCUCCCUCUCCUCAGUUUUCAGGCAGAAUCCAAAGCCUGACUAUACUGAUAAAAAUCCAUUCAUUGACUCUUGGGGCUUCUAACUGUACAACAUCUUAUCCAGUCCCUGGUCAAUAUGUUACUGUGCUCCUCACACAGGGGACCUGCCAGAUUAGAUAUUCAGGAUUCAUGGCACUCAAAAAUAACCUGAUGGGUAAAUCAGGAGGCAGACCCCAUAUUCAUUCCAGUUAAAAUCCUGCUCAAUUUUGCAUACACUUCUACUCACAGAAAUUAUGCCGUAGUGAACUCUACGACAAAAAUCUUAAAUCUUUCCUUCAAGAGUUAAUGUGCUGGAAGAACUGGUGUGAAGACAGGAGCAAGCAGAAGCAGAGUCUGUCCCUGUUAUCUAAAAUCAGGGAAGGAAUUGAGCUGAAGAGAAAACCAGGAAAGUUCAUAACUUUUAUUACUAGGAUCAACUCUUUUUCCUUCUCACCACAUUUAAAAGAAACCAGAUUUUUAUGAUGUGGUUGAGAUGAACCUCCAAGACCGUUUCAAGCCUGCUGAGCACCCAGCAAUGGACAAAGCCUCAGUGGAGUACACAGAGCUCUGCUAAAUAUUUCUUCUCUUUCCUGCAGAAUGGCCUGCUUGGUAUGAAAUAUAACAGGCUGAAGGCCACGAGACCACUUUGCCACUUUAGAAUAUAAUUAGUUUAUCAUCACUCAGCAAAGCCAGCUGCUUCCAUACAAACCACUGCCACUCCCCCAAACCCCCACACACCCCAAUUUGCCCAGGAGGACCAAACUGUGCCAACAUUUCUGAAAUCAUUGUCAGGCACUAGAAGCUCACACCCUGUGUGUCAUCCAAGGCCUGUCUCUCCAUCAGUAUAAUAAAUACCUCAUGGGAAGUGUUCUGCUGCUCA
This 1092-nucleotide long non-coding RNA is filed under the name Cyanistes caeruleus (blue tit). RNAcentral describes it as "lncRNA (ENSCCEG00000009886.1)". The record is from RNAcentral. Lineage: Eukaryota; Metazoa; Chordata; Aves; Passeriformes; Paridae.